Molecule: ribosomal RNA, 459 nt
Filed under: uncultured bacterium
Lineage: Bacteria
Description: partial 16S ribosomal RNA
Rfam family: Bacterial small subunit ribosomal RNA
Source: RNAcentral
CCUACGGGAGGCAGCAGUGAGGAAUAUUGGUCAAUGGGCGGGAGCCUGAACCAGCCAAGCCGCGUGAGGGAAGAAGGUACAGCGUAUCGUAAACCUCUUUUGUCAGGGAACAAAGGCGGGGACUAGUCCCCGGAUGAGGGUACCUGAAGAAAAAGCAUAGGCUAACUCCGUGCCAGCAGCCGCGGUAAUACGGAGGAUGCGAGCGUUAUCCGGAUUUAUGGGGUUUAACGGGUGCGCAGGCGGCCUGUUAAGUCAGCGGUAAAAGCCCGGGGCUCAACCCCGGCGAGCCGUUGAAACGGGCGGGCUGGAGUUGGAGAGAAGUACGCGGAAUGCGCGGUGUAGCGGUGAAAUGCUUAGAUAUCGCGCAGAACCCCGAUUGCGAAGGCAGCGUACCGGCUCCACACUGACGCUGAGGCACGAAAGCGUGGGUAUCGAACAGGAUUAGAUACCCUAGUAGUC